Molecule: non-coding RNA, 6164 nt
Organism: Podarcis lilfordi (Lilford's wall lizard)
Lineage: Eukaryota; Metazoa; Chordata; Lepidosauria; Squamata; Lacertidae
Source: the annotation of a GenBank genome assembly
GCCCGAGUCUCCCCUCGCGCGGAAUUCCCAAGGCGCAAAAGCCAGUGCGCCUGGAGACCAUUUGCACACGCGUCCCUCCGCGCCAUCCGCAGAGAUCUAGGCAGAUCCAUCCUCUCGCUCCCUCUCUCCAGCGGUAAACACCGCCGAGUCCGGCUGUGCACUGACGGACAUGCUCUCCUGUUCGUCAUAUGUUUAUAGCUCCUGCAUAAAGCCACCAUUAUAAAAUAAUCGUUACUUAACCUAUGACACAAGUGGUGUCCAUUUUGGCAUCUGUCACCGGGUUGUUUUUUCUUUCGCCUAAGCUGUCAGCCAAUUGGGACUUUUACAGUGUUCCCUUUCGAAUUAUUGUGCAAAAUAAAAUAAUAUUAUCUAAUCUCCCCCCCCCCACGCAGACAGGGAGUGCAAUCCAGUGAGGAGUUCUCCUGCACAAUCCCCACUGAAAUCCCAUUCAUUUCUAUGGGUCAACUGCCCAUGAGAUUGCACAUCCUGCGGGCAACCCUGACUCAGUUUGUUUUGUUCCCUUCUAUGCAGGUCUACUCAGAAGUAAAGUCCAUUGAAUUCAAGGGGACUUACUUCCAAGGAAUUGCAUCGUGAGCCAAUCACAUGACUUUACAGUAGCAUGUCUCAUUAAAGGUAAAGGUAAAGGUACCCCUGACUGUUAGGUCCAGUCACAAUCGACUCUGGGGUUGUGCGCUCAUCUCGCUCUAUAGGCUGAGAGAGCCAGCGUUUGUCUGCAGACAGCUGCCGGGUCAUGUGGCCAGCAUGACUAAGCUGCUUCUGGCGAACCAGAGCAGUACACAGAAACGCCGUUUACCUUCCCUCCAGAGCAGUACCUAUUUAUCUACUUGCAUUUUCAUGUGCUUUCAAACUGCUAGGUUGGCAGGAGCUGGGACUGAACAACGGGAGCUCACCCCAUCACGGGGAUUUGAACCUCCGACCUUCCAGUCAGCAAGCCCUAGGCUCAGUGGUUUAGACCACAGCGCCACCCAUGUCCCCGCAUGUCUCAUUAGAGUACAACUAAUAGUGGUACCCAUAAUGUUGCUGAGCUAAUAAGGCUGUGAUGCCUUCGAAAUUGUGAACAGGUAGAGAGGAGCUGUCUUAGCUAAAGGAACCAUUCAUCUCUACCCUUUUUCAAUAACGGGACUAUGAUGACACCCAGCUCUUUUUCUGUCAUCAUCUAAGACAGGUAACACUGUCUUAGAUAAUAAUGGUGUGGCUGAGGGUCAAUAACCUGAAGCUGAAUUUUGACAAGAUAGAGAUCCUACAGAGUGGUGGUUCCUGGGUCAAGGAAGUGGUGAAGUGGCCUAUUCUGAAUGGGGCUGCACUUGCAGAGAAGGAGCAGGUUAUUGGUGUGAGGGGGGACGUCUCUUUUUUUCAUUACAUAUUGUAUUCAUUAUGGUUAUGAUGUUGCAACAUAUACUGGGUCUAUGACAAAGGGCAGGAUAUAUAAACUGCGACUGCAACCUACUGUUACUACUUAAAAAUAGUAAGGAUAACUGGGGCCUUAUUCAGUCUGUCCUUUAUGUAUACCAUUCAGGAUGUCCAGCUCACCACUCCUAGAAGGGCUAUUGGUAGGAAAUGGAGUUGCCAGCAGUAAACUCCCAUGCCCAGAGGGUGUGGAGAUGGUGGAUAAUAGCCUUGGUAUGAAUUGAUAGCUGUCAUGCAAUAGCAUCUGGUGUUCAGCAGCUUGUCAAAAUCAGAAUAAUAUUCACAAGUCUAAAAGAACAGUGAAACGCUGGUGUUAAAAUUCAUGUUUAGAUUUUGAAUUUAAAUCCCAGAAUUUUAAAACUUUUCCCCAUUUUUCUGCUUUUGAUUUGGUGGGUUUUUUGGGGGGUGGGGGGUGUCAUUCAGCUCUCUUGGACAGUGUGACACACCAGUAGGGCAGCAGUGGCUGACAAGGAGCAGCAAUGCGAGGACUUUUAAGACUGACCAUACAAAAAGAAAAGGAAAGCCAAAUACAGUGGUACCUCAGGUUAAGUACUUAAUUUGUUCUGGAGGUCCGUUCUUAAUCUGAAACUGUUCUUAACCUGAAGCACCACUUUAGCUAAUGGGGCCUCCCGCUGCUGCCGCGCCGCCAGAGCACGAUUGCUGUUCUCAUCCUGAAGCAAAGUUCUUAACCUGAAGCACUAUUUCUGGGUUAGCGGAGUCUGUAACCUGAAGUGUAUGUAACCUGAAGCGUAUGUAACCUGAGGUACCAUUGUAAACUUUAAAAUGCAGGGCUUCUGGUUUGGGCCAGCUUUUCCCAAAAAUUAACUAAUGUUUAAUUUGGUAUUAGGUAUGUUUUUGAAAUGAUUCCCAAACUCCACCCCCGCCCAUGGCCCACUUGAAAAUUGCUGAGGGUCUUGACGGAUAACCCAAUGAGUUUUCUGCCUGUUGUAGCCGUUGUAACACACUGUGCUAGAUGUUCUAUGAUUUGGCUUCUAAAUUGUAUUUUCACAGACAAGUCAUGAACCACCUGAAUGAAGCUUGUGGAUUAUUGUGGUCCACAGUCCACGUUUUGGGAAGUGCUGCACUUAUUAGAUAUUUCUGCCCUUCUAUCAUAAAAACUCAAAACUGAUCGCACCAUUUUCAAACUCUAUGGCUGCCAUAUUAUACCCAAUAACUUGAGAGCAAAUUCUAUUGAAUUCAAUGGGAGUGUACUUCUGAGUAAAUGUCCAUUGGAUUACAUUAUAAAGCUGCAGUCCUAUGCAUACUCACCUGGCCCAUUAAACACGGCAGGACAUGCAUAAGAUUGUGCAGGACACAACUCAGAAACAUUUCAAGAUUUUUAAAACAACAACAUGCAAAUCCCAAUAAGGCUAACAUUCUAAAUAAGCACCACCCCACCCUGAUACACUGAAAGCUGACCCAACUUACAGGAUUUCUAGAGCAUUCUCUCUCCUCUGCACCAGUUAAUGAGCCCUAGGACUGAGAAUCAAUAAAAGAGGAAUGCAAGGAGAUAAACUGUGAAUUAAUAACCAGCCGUUAAACUAGGUCCCCUUUGCUUCUGCUCCUUCAGCUCCAAGGACAUUUUAGCAGCAAGUAGACAAAAGGGCAUUGCUUUUAUAAUCCUUGAAUGUGGCUUCCGGGAUGACAAUUUUUGUUUUAAAUUGACAUGGUAGUAACCUGGUAGCCCUGUUCAGCAGAGGCUGUACACUAUCUAAUCUGCCGUGCAGUUGUGCAUGAUUUGGUCCCCACUGAAAGGCAAAGGCAGCUCGCUCACUCCAACCACUAUUUAAAAGGGGGCAAAAGAAGCAAGAGCGAAACAAGACAGCAGGAAGACUGGGGAGCCUCACAAGUGGUGUUGGUUUCACAAGGGCUUCUUUAGACUGGCAGCAGUGGCGGAAGGAAAGCCUUGACUAUUUUAAUGAUGGUUUUAUGCUCUUUAAGUAGACAAAUGUAACUGGGAUGAAAUAGCACACACAUUGUGAAAUCUCCCUCACACACAGUAUGGAGCUCCUUUGAUGAAGGGUGGGGUGCAAACUUCAUCACCUCUAUAUGCAUAUUUUUAUUGAUUCUCUUGUUUUCAGUUCAAUGCUGCUUCAAGACAGCCAUAAUCCACAUUCACGUUUUAAGCAUUUGAAUCAUGGAACUGUAGGCUUGGAAAGGGUCCUCAAAGCUCAUCUAAACCAAUGCCUGUAGAUGCAGGAAACCCAUAACUCCCGCAUGCUUGACAGGUGGACAUCCAGCCUCUGUUUCAAGAUCUCAAAUGAAGGAGAGUCUGCCACCUUCGGAGGCAGUCAGUUGCAUGGUUCUUCCCAGCGUUUAGUCUAAAUCCUUCUAAUUUAAACCCUGGUCUCACUCUGAAGCGUGCCCUACUGUGUUCAUUGAGGCUUAUUCCCAAGAAAGACUGUAGCUUGGGAAGCGCUUAGCUUUGGCUAGGUUGAGCUAUACCAAAGUAAUUAUUCAUUGCCAAUUAAGUAGCAUCUGAGCACUUCAGAUAUUACAGAUGAACAAUCCUAUUAAAUCUGCCAUGAAAGCGCACAAGAGGCAUAUAUAGUUGAUAAUUGGUAAAAUAGUUUUCCCCAUCUUUAUUUUCUACAAACAUAAAAUCUUAAACCAUGAAGUAUUGAGAUCAGGCUCAGCUGAGAGCCCAGUGAACAAUGGAAAAAUGUUUCUCAAUCAUUCUUUUAGAUUCCCAUGGAGGUUUGCCAAUGUGUUUUGCUCAGCUCUUCCUCUCCCCCCUUCAGCAAUUGAAUAAAAUAAUUAUUCUCAUGUGAGUCUCUGCAUUAAUAUUAUGAAAAAUCAUUUUAUACUCUAAUAUGGCUACGCUCAAAUUACCUAUCCAGACUAGGGGUUCAAAUACGGUACCUGGCUGAUGUCUUAAAAUAGUAAUGUUAACUAGAUGGAGAAGCAUUCAAAUAAAUUAGACUCUAGAAACUAUAAAACCAGUAGAAACAUCCACGUUUCUACUUACAAUAUACUCGGGAUGUAACUGAAUCAUUGCUGUUCCACAAUUAAGUGCCUUAGGGUGCAAUAGCCAAAUCACUGCACAUGCAGAAGUUCAGAGCCCCUGAAGUUAUGGGAAUGUCGCAGAGGUGCUAUGACAAGUAUUUAGGGCUUUGGGCCUCAGGCUGAACUAUUCUCAAGGCAAACAAAGAAGGCACAAUUUAUUUAUUUAAUUUGCUGCUGCAAGAUAUGGUGCCGCUGACCCAGAUGGCUUAAGAGGGGAACCCACUGUUAUUAGUAAUGAUAAUUAAAUGGAUAUUUCAUGAUCAGAGGCAGUGUACCUCUGAACACCAGCAACUGGAGGAGGGACACAGCCUUAAUGCCUUGUUUGUGGGCUUCCCAGAGGCCACUGUUGGAAAAAAGAAUGUUAGACCAGAUACUAGACCUUUUAUCGUCUGAUCCAGCAAGACUCUUCUGAUGUCUUAAGUGCCACAUAUCCUGAAUGGAUCUAUCUUUAAACUAAAUCUGGGGUGGCCGUGUUACCUGGCUCCUGAGAGCCCUGCUGAAAGAUCUCAUAUCAAUAUAAUAAUUCUCCCUUGAUACGUUGUGCAUCAUGUCCCAACAGCGUCCAAGCAAUGUUUGCUCCAUACCUUAUUUAGCUCUUAAUGCCUGGCACCAGCUUUUGUUUAAAGAGCUUGACCAGCUGUUACAGGGUAGGGACUGAGUGGGAAGGGAAGCUUGUGGGCCCCACACCACUGUUUGAAGAAUGGUCUGGUUCCUUGCUACAAAGAACACGGUUCCUCUGUGCUAAGUGCAAUAUGGCAUCUGUCAAAUGUGCGUGCAGGGCACAGCUCUGCCAUGCUAGAAUUAAUUUAGAGCUUCCUAAUGUGAGUUCGUCCUGCUUUCUUUCAUGCACUGUCCUCCACCAAAUUCUCUGUUAUCUUCUCUCUGUUGCUCCUUUUUCUUUUCACAGUGUAGCAAAGCAGUGCUAAUGUGGCCAGGGAACUGCAAAGCCACCUACUUUGUUGGUAUCUUUGUCAACAUGAUGAACCAUAGAACAGUAGAGUUGGAAAGGACCUCUAGAGACUUCUAGUCUGACCCCCUACAAUGCAGGAUUUUCAACUAAAGAAUCCAUGACAGAUGGCCUUCCAACAUCUUCUUAAAAACCUCAAACGACGGAGAGUCCACAAAAGUUCUACCUGACCCUUAAUAGAAAGCUCCUUUCUUGUAACUUGAAUCCAUUGGCUUAUGUCCCAUCCUCCGGAGCAGGAGAAAAAACUAGCUUGCUCUGUCUUCCACGUGACAGUCCUUUAGAUAUUUGAAGAUGUCUAUCAUGUCUCCUCUCAGUAGCCUCUUAUCCAGGCUAAAAAUACUGAACUCAAACUAGGAGUUGAGCACUGUCUCAGGCUGACUGCUCUGCAAUGGGGAACAAGAGCAAAUAGGUCAGUUUCCUGGGUUAUUGCAAGCCUACAUACCUUAAUUCUCUUACUGAAUGUCAGAAGAGCUGGAUGAUUUUAAAAAUAGUAUCGCUGCAUGUGUUCAAAAAAUAGGAUGAGUUUUGCAUUUUAUUCUGCCCAUUCGAAAGCAUGUUGGGAUGCAUUGAAAGGGUUAGGAAAGAACUCAUCUUUAGAGUUCCCUCUUGUGGAUAUUCUGUGUACAGAAAAAUUCCACAGUGGAUUUAAAAAAUAUUCCUCAAAAUGCAGUCCUGUAUACUGUCAAGCUUAAAGUUGCAAAAGCUGUUUCUUAAAUCAUAUAAACUCCAGGAUGUUGUGGAGAAAAUACCAAUCUAAGCUGGC